CCGCAGCCCGGCGCGGCAUUGCUGACGCCUGGCAUUAUCGAUGUCAGUGCGGUGCCCGAGCGCCCCGACGAAGAGCUGUUCGGCCCGCUGCUGCAAG
RNAcentral lists this transfer RNA (97 nucleotides) under Pseudomonas syringae pv. syringae str. B301D-R. Its description in RNAcentral is "tRNA-Asp". The record is from RNAcentral. Lineage: Bacteria; Pseudomonadati; Pseudomonadota; Gammaproteobacteria; Pseudomonadales; Pseudomonadaceae.